This 376-nucleotide long non-coding RNA is filed under the name Capsicum annuum. RNAcentral describes it as "long non-coding RNA (CANN_LNC003040)". The record is from RNAcentral. Lineage: Eukaryota; Viridiplantae; Streptophyta; Magnoliopsida; Solanales; Solanaceae.
AACGAAGGGUGGUCAGAUGAACACCCUUCGUCGAAAUUUUUUUUUGAGUAUAUAGGUUAAAUAUAGAUAUUUAUGGUUAUGUACAUGUUGUUGCACACCCUUGACAAGCUAGAGAAGCAUAGUCCAGUGGUCAAGAGUGUGCAUUUCCGCAUCAACAAUUCGGAUUUGAACCUUGGCAGGUGCAACAGUGCUUUAUUUUCUUUGUUUUUUAAACAGUUCUUUGCCCAAGGAAAAAUAUGAACACCCUUAAUCAAAAGUCUGGUUCCGCCACUGCAUGGUUAUUGUGCAACCUAAUUUGAUAGGUUUUAUAAAUUCUCCAUUAAAAGAGAAAAGAAUAAGAGUAAAAAUACACUUAGUAUUUCAAAGUGAUGUUGAG